Long non-coding RNA from Grus americana (Whooping crane), 3186 nucleotides. RefSeq lists it as uncharacterized. The record is from RefSeq and is a predicted model, not a curated record. Lineage: Eukaryota; Metazoa; Chordata; Aves; Gruiformes; Gruidae. The transcript has 2 exons.
AGAGCUCCACGUCUGCUUCCGGGGCGCUCCGGGCUGCGGGGGCGGCCGUGGGACUCUUAGGGCCGUAAUUGUGGCGCUUUCGGCAAGUUUGGUGUGACGCCUCAGGACCUGCUUUGGAGAUGCCAACAUUCGUGCUGCGUGGAGCCCUGUGGCGGUGUCACCCUCACAUGCUGGAAGGGGCCUUGUGAUCCCAGCGUGCUCCCUCGCCUCGGCGCAGGGUUGGCAGCAGCCAGGUUCCCUGCAAGAAGAAUGAGUCCCGGGGGGCACUGGUGCUGUGGCUCACGCCAAGAUCUCUGAGCUGGUGGUGCCAGCGUGACUACGCUGACUUUAGCACCCUGCUGUUUAACCAGCAGGUUGCAUGUUAACAUCAGAGCGAUGGCAGAGCUCUGUCUGCACCUGACUCUUUAGACUUUGAUUGAUCCACAGUAAAUCCUUCCCUUCACGCGUGCCCAUAGGUGAGGAGGAGCGAGGUGGGACUCUGGCCAGGAGAGCAGAAACAAGAAGUGAAGCGAUGAGCCAGUUCUUUGCCUGGCAAAGGUGCAGCGUGUAGAAAUCAAAACUAAGCCAGCUUGCUCACAGGAGAGGAAGGGGCACGAAUAACCUGAAACUUGUCAUCUCACGCUGGUGCUUAACAUCAGGGAGGGUUGGCAGUUGUUGAUGUUCUUUACUAAAAUAAACUCGCUUUACCCCACGGCUCCUCGCCUGGGGCUGUCCCACUAGGUGUCAGUGCACGCUCAUGUGCCGGCGUGGCUGCCCGCAGCUCUGCUCUGUGAUGGCAACAAAAAGCCACCGAGUAAUUUCGACAUAUUGUUCAUUUGCUGCAGCUGUAAUUUAGGUUUCUAGGGCCAUUUAUCAUAAAGCUGUCUGCUUUCUUAUUCCAUGGCUCAAGGCUGCUGGAGUAUAUCUCGCUGCGUUCCUGGGAGAAUCAAAGUAUUGGAGUUGAUUUCACUAAAAGCUGUCACAGUACAUUACUGGAGCGCAUUUUAUUAAAGUUCAUUUUCCAGACUUAAAUUUAACAGUGUUCUAGACCACUGUCAUUUACCAUAUACUGGAACAGUAAUUUCUCUAUCAAAGUCAGUUAUUGAAUUCUGAAAGUUGACUGAAGUACUUUUGAAACACAUACAGUAUGUGAGUUGAAAGAAAAACAGGACAAGACAGAGGCAGAGCUGCGCAGUGUCUCUCCACCGGCUUCCGAGGGAGAGCCGGGAAGGGGGGAGCACGCUGCCACCAUCGCUGUGGAGGAGGCAGACUCCGUGGAGGCAACAUGACAGACGCUAAUUGCACUAAUUGAAGUGUGGUAAUUAGUUGCUGCACCUCAGUAAGCAUUUGUAAAAUAUUUUCAUGGAAAAAAUGUAGCUGAUACCACGGAGUGGAGCUGAGCAUCGCAAAAGAGCUUUCUGUCUCUCGACCUGCGAGAGCUGAGAGUAGCAAAGACCAAAACAGAGGAUGGGACAGAAUUGCUGCUCCGGGGAUUGAUGAGCAAGAGAGCAGCGGCCGGGAGAGCCAGCUGGAUCAAAACUGAGCUGGUUGUGAAAAAGCCGCUUUUGGUGCUGUCCUCAUCACCCUCCUUCCCCUUUCUGAGAGCGCUUCAGGCAGCUGAGCACCCUGGGGCGGAUUGGGGAGCCAGGUGGGGCUGUGUCCUCCCAGGUUUUUGCUGCCCUGCCUCCUGCCAUAGCCGCAGGUUUAUUGCAAGCCCCACCGAAGCACAGUGACUUUGUGGUUGCCACCACAGAGGGCUUGAGAAAACUGGCUGGUGGGAGCCAGGUGGGAGCAGCUCCCGUUGCUGGCUGGGAGGGGGAGAGCGCGCCGUGCUGCAGCUCAGGGUGUCGGACAGCCCGGGCUGCUGAUGCUGCACGGCGCCUGCGUGGGGGAUACGCAGCAACAUCUAGGUGGUGGCGUGGCAAUCGUCUGCAUGUUUGUUAAUAAACGCAAAUACGGCUGGUGGGAUGGAAAUUGUUUGGGGGAUAGGGUGGUUUUUCAGCAGUGUGCACAUAAUAUCCUACAAGUUACAUAGGCUUUGAUGCAAUAAAUGAAAGAUGAUGCGGGAGGGGUGCUUCCAAACGGGCAGAGCACGUUACUAAAAUAUUUAGGCCAUAUCAGAGUUAAGUGCUUCUUCAUAUGCCUCACUCCAGCUCGUCAGGCUUUCUGUCUUUCUGAAAAGGCCACUGGCAAAAUAAUACGGAGUUUUGUUUGGAUGUGGGGGAGGCUGUAAUUAUUGGGGCGUUUAACACGUUGGUUUAUGACAUCUUUAGGCUGAGGACUGGUUUACUACUUGCUAUUACCAUAAGUGGUGCUGUUGCCCUGCUUGCAAUUUUGAUGCCCAUUAAGAUGGAAACUGUAUGUAAAUCAGGAUCGCCCAUUAAUAUUUAUAAUUCAUGGUGGAAUGUAGGAGUUUGUCUGUUAUGAGAAGAACCGUAAACAGGAAUUUUAUGAACACUGAAAACUGUUGCUUAGGUGGUUCUCUUGAAAUAAUUUUCCUUUGCAGCCAAACAUCAAUUCUUAAUUUUAGUAGCACGCAUAGCAGGAUGGAAACGAUGAUUGAUUUUUCUCCAAGUGCUGUGGGCUGCUUCAGUUGAGAUUUCACUAUAAAAGACUAGACAUUUCCAAUUGCUUUUUAUAAGUUCAGAAUUGAUUUUAUUUGUUUAGCACCUGACUAACAUAAUAAAAGACAAAAGAAAUAUAACCAAAUAUAAGACACAGAAAACUCACAGGCUACCUGGUUUCUGGUCUUCCUUUCGGUGCUGUGAUAUCAAGCUAUGAUGUAAUUUAUAAAAGAAAGACCUGGACUUGCCGCUGCCUGGGUCCCAGUGCUGCACAGCCCUGCUUUCCCAGGCUGCGAACAGAUACGUCCCACCGAGGCGGCACUCAGCAAGCAGAAACGCCAGCAAAAAGUUGUGAAAGGGAGAGCUUCAGCUUACUCUCUUUAAACCUCUUCUUGAUUUUUCUUUCGCUAACUAACUUAACUAACGAACGUAGGAACUGUUGGUAGGCAGCAACCAGAGACUUAACGCAGUGAGGGCUCCCGCUCCAAACAGGUCUCUUCCAAAGAGAGUCGUGUGGAAGCUGUUUGCGCCGUGUUCACAAAGAAUUGGGGCUCUGUAUAGAGUUUGAAUAUUUUAUGCAUGUCUGGCUUACUGUUGGGAUUUUGACAAGUGAGAAAGCAAAAAUAAAACCGAGUUAGCAUCA